AAUGCCGGAUGCUCCAUCACACUGCAUGGUGUGUUGGGAAAGCCUUUGCGGCAUGGGAUGGGGUCGCGUCCUAUCAGCUUGAUGGCGGGGUAACGGCCCACCAUGGCUUCGACGGGUAGCCGGCCUGAGAGGGCGACCGGCCACAUUGGGACUGAGAUACGGCCCAGACUCCUACGGGAGGCAGCAGUGGGGAAUAUUGCACAAUGGGCGCAAGCCUGAUGCAGCGACGCCGCGUGAGGGAUGGAGGCCUUCGGGUUGUAAACCUCUUUUGUUAGGGAGCAAGGCAUUUUGUGUUGAGUGUACCUUUCGAAUAAGCACCGGCUAACUACGUGCCAGCAGCCGCGGUAAUACGUAGGGUGCAAGCGUUAUCCGGAAUUAUUGGGCGUAAAGGGCUCGUAGGCGGUUCGUCGCGUCCGGUGUGAAAGUCCAUCGCUUAACGGUGGAUCCGCGCCGGGUACGGGCGGGCUUGAGUGCGGUAGGGGAGACUGGAAUUCCCGGUGUAACGGUGGAAUGUGUAGAUA
This 521-nucleotide ribosomal RNA is filed under the name Bifidobacterium breve. RNAcentral's name for it is "bacterial SSU rRNA". It matches the Rfam family "Bacterial small subunit ribosomal RNA", at positions 165 to 696 of the family's 1533-position model. Lineage: Bacteria; Bacillati; Actinomycetota; Actinomycetes; Bifidobacteriales; Bifidobacteriaceae. The record is from RNAcentral.